CUGUGAAAUCUUGAGUGCUAUCUCUCAUUCAUAUUUUGGAUCACAAAGUUCCUACAACUAAUGAAUGAAAUUAUUUGUUCCUGUUUCUGAACUUAAUACACAGUCUUAUUCAAUUUAAGUGAUUGGUUGAUUCUCAUAAAAAGGCACUGACCUCAUUUUACAAUUUCUGUUCAAUGAUUUGCCUUUUUUGACACAUCUAUUUGCAAUCUAUUGGGAUAAUUUCCUGCACAAAGUAGGCUGUUAGUUUAAAUACUGCAGACAUUCUUUAAAUUAGUCACUGAUUUUUGAAUAUUUCUUUUCAAUAGAAGAAAGCACUGUAUCUCAAACAAUGGCACCAUUCAUUAGUUGCAGGACAAUCUUCUACCUAAAGUUACAACUCUACCAUCAAUGUCCGUUGCAUCCGUGUUUAUGAAUACAAUUCUGGAGACAACAAUGAUAGCACUUUGGAAGUAGUAUUCCAUGAUAGGCUGGGCACCAGAAUUCAAACUUCUCUUCCAAAGAAUGCAUGCAAGAAAAUUGGUUCACAAAUAUAGGCUCAUAGAUAUUCCAAGCAUGCAUCAUUGUAUUCAAAAGCACAUGAAUCAUGCAAAGUAAAUUAUUUGUUUUCA
This is a long non-coding RNA of Salvia hispanica, 608 nucleotides long. RefSeq lists it as uncharacterized. The record is from RefSeq and is a predicted model, not a curated record. NCBI's taxonomy places the organism in Eukaryota, Viridiplantae, Streptophyta, Magnoliopsida, Lamiales, Lamiaceae.